Molecule: long non-coding RNA, 448 nt
Organism: Hyaena hyaena (striped hyena)
Lineage: Eukaryota; Metazoa; Chordata; Mammalia; Carnivora; Hyaenidae
Exons: 3
Source: RefSeq, a predicted model, not a curated record
CCCAGCGUGUCCAGUGAUGAGACUACCGUUCCUGUGAGCCUGGGCCAGGAAAAGGCAGUAGACAAAGGGAACAGUCAGUCAAGUAGAGUUUGCUGGAGAUAUACGUGGAAACCUCCGCACAGACGCAGGGCUGCUGGAUUUAUAAGGAGGACACAAGCCUUCCGCUGAGCCUGGAGCCACACCUGACCCUCAGCUCCAGGAACCACUUUGCUCAAUUUUCCAGCAAAGGGAAGCGGGGCUUUCCCGCUUCAAUGCCAUUCUGAAUGCCACUGGGAAGGACUCCUAUGGAUCUGCUUUCGGAAUUUAAGAGUAUGCUGAGGACGUUUCGCAUUAUGAUCGGUGAGUGUAUGGGCAUGAAAACUGCUGGGAUUGCCUCUGCUUUGCGUGGCCACUGACAGGGAACUUUCCAGGUGAGUGUCAUGGAGGGGCCCCAGCUGGAGUGGAGUGU